AUGGGGGGACCACCCUCCAACCCUAAAUACUACCCAGUGACCGAUAGCGUAUAGUACUGUGAAGGAAAGGUGAAAAGGACCCCGGGAGGGGAGUGAAAGAGAACCUGAAACCUUGUGCCUACAAGCACAUAGAGCCCGUCAAAGGGUGAUAUGGUACUUUUUGUAGAACGGUCCGGCGAGCGAUUGUACGUUGCGAGCUUAAGGUCUUAAGGACUGGAGGCGUAGCGAGAGCGAGUCUAAACAGGGCGUUUAGUAGCGUGCAAUGGGCCCGAAACCGGGUGACCUACCCAUGAUCAGGCUGAAGUGAAAGUAAAAUUUCAUGGAGGGCCGAACCGACCUCCGUUGAAAAGGCGGCGGAUGAAUUGUGGGUAGCGGAGAAAUUCCAAUCGAACUCGGAGAUAGCUGGUUCUCCCCGAAAUAGCUUUAGGGCUAGCCUCAUGUUAGAUAUCCGGAGGUAAAGCACUGAAUGGCCUAGCGUCCGAGAGGAUAGCGAAGCCUAUCAAACUAAGAAUGCCGGAAUAUUGAUGCAUGGGAGUCAGACAGUGUGAGAUAAAUCUCAUUGUCAAAAGGGAAACAGCCCAGAUCUACAGCUAAGGUCCCAAAUUGUAUCUAAGUGGAAAACGAUGUGGAAAUACGCAGACAACCAGGAUGUUGGCUCAGAAGCAGCCACUCAUUUAAAGAGUGCGUAAUAGCUCACUGGUCGAGCGUCUCUGCGCGGAAAAUUUAACGGGGCUAAGAUACAAACCGAAGCUUAGGCUGCAUAUGUAAGUAUGCGGGGUAGGGGAGCGUUGUGUAAGCGGAGAAACAGUAGCGGAAGCGGCUGUGGAGUUUACAGAAGUGAGAAUGCCGGAAUGAGUAGCGCGAAUGAUGUGAGAAUCAUCAUGGCCGGAAACCUCAGGUUUUUGGAGGAAGGUUCGUCCGCUCCAAGUUAGGCGGGAGCUAAGGUGAGGCCGAAAGGCGUAGCCGAUGCACAGACGGUAGAGAUUCCGUCCCCACCGAAAGAUUUAAGCGCAGGGACACUUUUAGAAGGUCGGAGCCAGGUGUUGGUUCUGGUAGAGAUCGAGGGAAAUUUAGUACCGAAGUCCGGCUGGAUAAGAGGCGAGAAAAGCUGCGUGUAUAUCUAAGGUGCCCGUACCGCAAACCGACACAGGUAGGUAGGAAGAAGAUUCUAAGGCCAACGGGAGAAGGGUUGUUAAGGAACUCGGCAAAUUGACCCCGUAACUUCGGGAGAAGGGGUGCUCCAGAGAUGGAGCCGCAGAGAAUCGGCCCAAGCAACUGUUUACCAAAAACACAGGUUUGUGCUAAAUCGAAAGAUGACGUAUACGAGCUGACGCCUGCCCGGUGCUGGAAGGUUAAAAGGAGAUGUGCAAGCAUUGAAUUGAAGCCCCAGUGAACGGCGGCCGUAACUAUAACGGUCCUAAGGUAGCGAAAUUCCUUGUCAGGUAAGUUCUGACCC
This 1456-nucleotide ribosomal RNA is filed under the name human gut metagenome. RNAcentral's name for it is "bacterial LSU rRNA". It matches the Rfam family "Bacterial large subunit ribosomal RNA", at positions 444 to 1989 of the family's 2925-position model. The record is from RNAcentral.